RNAcentral lists this ribosomal RNA (409 nucleotides) under Klebsormidium flaccidum. Its description in RNAcentral is "bacterial LSU rRNA". It matches the Rfam family "Bacterial large subunit ribosomal RNA", at positions 2078 to 2485 of the family's 2925-position model. Lineage: Eukaryota; Viridiplantae; Streptophyta; Klebsormidiophyceae; Klebsormidiales; Klebsormidiaceae. RNAcentral also lists the same sequence under 1 other name. The record is from RNAcentral.
GGACAGAAAGACCCUAUGAAGCUUUACUGUUCCCUGGCAUUGGGUCUCGGCCCUCCCUGCGCAGCCUAGGUGGGAGGCACAGAAGCUCUUCUUCCGGGAGGGGCCAAGCCAUCCGUGAGAGACCACCCUGGAAGGGCUAAGAUCCUAAACCGGCGCCCUACGAUAGGCGUUGGAACCGUGCCAGGCAGACAGUUUCUCUGGGGCAGAGGCCUCCCAAAGAGUAAUGGAGGCGUGCAAAGGUUCCCUCAGGCUGGACGGGAAUCAGUUGUAGAGUGUAAGGGCAGAAGGGAGCUUGACUGCAAGACCAACAAGUCGAGCAGGGACGAAAGUCGGCCUUAGUGAUCCGACGGUGCCGCGUGGAAGGGCCGUCGCUUAUCGGAUAAAAGUUACUCUAGGGAUAACAGGCUGA